RNAcentral lists this ribosomal RNA (497 nucleotides) under uncultured bacterium. Its description in RNAcentral is "partial 16S ribosomal RNA". It matches the Rfam family "Bacterial small subunit ribosomal RNA", at positions 28 to 507 of the family's 1533-position model. The record is from RNAcentral.
GAUGAACGCUGGCGGCGUGCCUAAUACAUGCAAGUCGAGCGAACGGACGAGAAGCUUGCUUCUCUGAUGUUAGCGGCGGACGGGUGAGUAACACGUGGAUAACCUACCUAUAAGACUGGGAUAACUUCGGGAAACCGGAGCUAAUACCGGAUAAUAUUUUGAACCGCAUGGUUCAAAAGUAAAAGACGGUCUUGCUGUCACUUAUAGAUGGAUCCGCGCUGCAUUAGCUAGUUGGUAAGGUAACGGCUUACCAAGGCAACGAUGCAUAGCCGACCUGAGAGGGUGAUCGGCCACACUGGAACUGAGACACGGUCCAGACUCCUACGGGAGGCAGCAGUAGGGAAUCUUCCGCAAUGGGCGAAAGCCUGACGGAGCAACGCCGCGUGAGUGAUGAAGGUCUUCGGAUCGUAAAACUCUGUUAUUAGGGUAGAACAUAUGUGUAAGUAACUGUGCACAUCUUGACGGUACCUAAUCAGAAAGCCACGGCUAACUACGUG